UUGUGGUUGUGCUAUAUGGGACACUGCCUCAGCAUGUCUUGAUGAGCAGUGCUAGGUCUGUGCCCAGGAUCUGAACCAGCAAAACGCCGGGCCACUGAAGUGGAGUGCAUGAACUUAACCAUUUGGCCAUGGGGCCGGCUCCAAACUACUGGUUUUAAGAUUGUCAAAAUGGUGAUAAUUACUGGGUGAGAAGAUGAGUAUAUGGGGGUUCAUUACACUAUUCUCUCUACUUCUAUAUACAUUUGAAAUUUUCCACAAUAAAAAGUUAAAGAAACAGAGAGAGAGAGAGAGAGAGAGACAAAGAACAAACAAUCUGAAGAAUCUUAAGGAAACAAAAAAGAAAAGGUGCUACUGGUUUUAAGCCCUUGGAAAGAAAAAAGUUUUAAAAACACUGUUAAAAGACUUUCCCAGUGCUACUUACAGACAAGUUGUAGAAAUGGAGUGUCUUGAGGCUACUGGAUUAUAGUAAAAAUCUGAUGGCUCAUUGUUUUUCAAAAAAACAUCUCCUUAAUUCUUAAUUAAGUUUAACCAGAUAUUUUUCAUGGGGUCCAAAAUUAGAAGGUAUUUAAGAUGAAAAGUACAUUACAGCGUAUCCAGGGCAAUCUCCUUGUUAUUACUGAUAGGGAAAUUUGGGUCUGAUGACAUAGGUAGUUAGUGACAAAGUAGAAACUAAAACCCAAGCUGUAUGACUCUAAUUCAUGCAGUUUCUACCUUGCCAGAUUAGGGUACUAGCAUAUUCUAACAGUAUGUUGAUGAUUUUACUUUAAACAUCCAGCAGAAGGAAUCUCAUUAUCUCUUCCCAUUGCAAUUCUGCAUUACAACAUGAGUUGGGAAUGCCAUUAGCUAUAAGUGAACAAAAAUCAUACCUCAAACUGCUUAAACUUAAGGACAUUUACUGGCUCACAUAACUGUUAGUCCACAGGUAGCGUGGAAUUCAAGGUUGGUUUGACCUAGCAGCUCUGGCUCCAUCCCUCUAUAAUUCUCUCAGCUCCGUCAACUUCUAGAGCUGGUGUCUUCCUUGAUAACAAGAUUGCAGCAGCAGCUGAGAGCCUCACAUUCACAUAUGACAAUGUCUACACACAGAGGCGGCCUCUUCCCAUGCUUUGGACAAGGAAAAAUGUCUUUCCCAGAAGCUUCUGCAAGCAGACUACCUGGGUUUGCACCUGGCUCUGACACCUACUAUCAAGUAAGUUCACAAAAGUGGUCACCUACAUUACAAGAUUGUUGUGACAAUUAAAGGAGCAGCAUGUAAAGGGUGGAGAUCAGACAGUACAAAUUGUAUUAAGCAAAGCACUAAAUAAAUUCUAGCUAUUAUUUAUUUCAUACAACUAAAUUACUAUGAUGUGAAGAAUCAUGACAUUUUUUAAUGUUGAAAGGAGACAUUUCUUUUUAACUGCCCAGCAUUCCUCUCUUCCCCCUUCCUAAUUUCCUUUUGGAGAAUGACCCCUCCGCCACCUGGUAUAACCUUGCUGAGACUGUAAACCCAUGUGUGUACUUUCUUCCUAUGGAGGCCAAAGGGAUUCCUGGAGGUUCCUGCAACUAAAUCCCUCCUCUCACCACUGGUAUACCCGGCAUGACCUAGAUUCAGCUAAUCAGAUGUGUUCUCCAGGAGUCUGCAAUCUUGAGCAAGUAACUUGCAAAGAAGAAAGAAACAGGCGGAGUUCAUUCAUCCCAGGGGUAACAUCCUGAUCAGAUCAUUCCUCUAAUUCUGCUUUCCAGAUCCCCAGAGCUGCCUUAGUUUCUGCCUGUUUCCAAGAGUGGUUCUCAAGCAGUCCGUUAGUUCUGUAAGUUUCUAAUUCCUUCCCAAUAAAUUACCUCCUGCUCACGUUAGGUAAAGUUGGAUCCUACUGUCUGCAACCAAAGAAUCCCAGUGAGAAGCCAAUUAAGAUCAAUUGUUGGAGUAUAGUAUAAAGAUACUCUGCUGGGACUGAAGAAUGGAACUGGGGCUCUGUGAGGAUGAGAAAGCAAGUCUUAGAAAGAUGUUUUAGGAAGUACAAGGAGAAGCCAGAAGGCUAAAAUGUGAUGAGCAAUGGAAUUAGGUUUAUUCCAGUGUAGGGAUGUGAAGGACUGCCCCAGAGAUCUGGAGAAUUGCAGUGUGAGGGGUAAGCUGCAUGGGAGGAAGACAGCCCACCAACUUCUCACUGAAACUUUCUGCCUGGUGAAAUUCUAGGACAGGUAUUUCUAUAAGACCUCUUUUAAAGAGAUGUGUGAUAUAAGGAGCUCACCAUCAGGUUCACUGCUGCUAUCUAUACAAGGAUCCAAAGGGGGAGAUCUUACCCUCUGUCUCUGGUGGAAACCCUUUUUCCCUAGUUCAGCACAUUCUGGCGUAUAGAAAGUUCAAGUUCAUAAGGAAACUCUAUUACAGCUCAAUAGUAUUUAAGGGCAGAGAUUAUUCAGAGAUGAGAAAACAGUAUUAAAGUUAUCCAGUUGGCUUGGUUCAGAUUUCAAGUCCUCAACAAUUUUUUCCAGGAAUUCUAUUUUCACUAUCCUAGUCUAUGUCACUACAUCCCAUUCUGCUUUGACUUGUCUACUUAUUCCCACCUUCCUGCCUGAUCUGAAUCAAGCUGGUUUUUAGAUCCCAUUCUGAGUCUCUGAAGAGAAGAAGUUUUUCCAGUUCAGGGUUCAGAUAAACCCAUGCUAAGUAACUUUGUGCCCCUCUCUCUCUGACAUGAUCUACCCUAACCUCUAAACCUAACACCCAGUGUCCUAAGUUCUCCCCAAACUCUCUCCUGUCUUCCCUGGUCUCCAUAGCACUCUCUCUCUCCAAAAUACAAAUUCCCUACCUUCUUUCAUUCUCAAAAUGCGCCCCAAAUGUAACUUUUUAAAAAUGCCUACCAGUAAAUCACAUCCAACUGCUGGUUUCUUUCCCCUCUAGCUUAGUUAUCAUAUCCCUUCAUAACGUUCAAAUUUACAAAAAAAUUUGAGGCAACUCUCAUCUGGCCCAGAAAUAUCUAUGACUUCCAUUUACAACAUUAAAAAAAUAAAUAUUGAGGUAGAAGAAUUACUUUACACUGUAUAACUUUCAGUACUAUCAGGAUAUUUUACCAUGUAAACGUUACUUUUUCUACUUAAAAAAAUUCCCAUUACUUAAUAAUGCAAAAAAAUUAUCUUAGUCACCUUACUCUCCCAAAAGCCUUUUAAUCCAGAACCAUGGAUAUCAGAUGGGGAGAAGAAAGUAUCCCUAAAUUCAUAAUCAUUUUGUUUAGUUUUGUUUGGAGGGUGGCGAGUAGACAGGCAGCAGCUUGUAGCCAUAAGUUUACAGUCUGGUCACUAAACAAACCAAUGGUCUUCCACUGCCAAAAGUUUAAGGGAAAUCUGAAGAUAUUUUCAAGCCCCUAACCCCUCAGAAAGUGACACUGCAAGUACUUUAAGGCCCCCAGGUGAUGGCAUGGCUGGAUUAGUCACUGCCACUUCUCACAUUUGGGAGUUGCUGGUAAAUCAGGAUAGGUCAGGGCCGGCAAUCAAGCAUCUCUGUGGGUGUGGGUAAACUGACUUCCAGGUGGACCCCACCUUGUCUGACCUAAGCAAAAUGGAUCAAUCCAGAUCUUUUUACAGUGUUUCAUUACUUUUUUGUUAUAUGAGUGUAUUUUACAUAAGAUAUUUCCCUAAAUAUUAAAAUACUAUAUUGCAAUAGUUAAAUCUGAAUUGUGGACUAGUCAAAAUCUGCUGCUUCAUUUAGGCCCACCCCCAAAAGAUUUAUCCUUAUAUUCUGAGACUUCAAGAUACCAUCCAACCCUCCCCAGUGAGUUGAUGUCAGCACUGGAUUCACCAUCUUCCUGUCCACCUCCAACCUGUCAAUCCUCUGUCAGCUGCACCAUCCAAGCUGCCUUCUAACACUGUCUUCCUCAGCAGCACCAAUCCUGGUGAUCUAUCUUCUGUCUCGGGGCCCAACACCAACCUGCCUAUUGACACCUGAAACUGACACUUCAGCCAAAACCAAACCCGGAUGCAAACCACCACCCAACCAUCUCCUGGCCAUCUGGUGCUUACAUUCCCUCACCUCACCAAACCUGCUCUUCUCUAUCUGCUUCCAAGUCAGCUCCCGUUCCCCUACCCAGCCAGGUUUCUAAUUUCAUGUGCUUAGCUACCAACCUAGAAGUCACACAGCUUUUGUAAUUAUGCCCUCUUGGACACACAAAAAGUCCCGCACCUAUUGGACCUUUCAGCCUUUCAAUCUCUAACCCUAGACAAGUCCUGCUGUUCAAUUUUUCUGCUUCAACUUCCAGGAUACUAACAUUACAGAGAAAGAUCUGAAACAAUGCUGGCUGAGUCCACAGCAAACCCAUGCUAACUAGCCUAGCCAGACAGAGCCCUUACUGUUCUGCACAAUUCCUCUCCCGUACUCCCCCGCACCGACCCUUCCCUUCAUGCAUGCAUACCCUCACAGACCACCCAACACAACCCUGGCCUCUGACUUUACAAAGUCUCACCUCCUCAGACUCAAGUUCCCUCCAUCUCACUUUCACCUCACAUUCCCUUUGUUCCUCUCUCACAGAAUCCUUCCUCCUUUUCAAGGAUAAUGCUCUCCAGUUGUACACUUAAUUGCUACUCCUUUCUCUAGCCUUGGAGGCCUCCUUCCACAAAUACUCCUCUCUUUCGCACUCACCAGCCAACUCCACCAGCCCUUUCUCCCAAGGUAACUGAAUUUCAGGCCAAACUACACCCAGAGAUGAGGGUUUUUGUCCUCCCUCCCCAUAAAAAAAGACUCUUAAAAUUGCAUUGCUAACAUUUAAAAAUCAGGACAUUUCACUCGAAAAAUCAGGAUUUCUAGCUUUUCUGGUAAAACAGAAUCCUCUGCCACCACUGAGUGAGCAUACUCAAACAACAGAAUGUGAGGAGCUGACUACGGGCCGCUCCCUUUCAAAGGGGCAUUUGCCAUCUCCACUGUACCACAAUCCCCUUUCCUGGUCUCCUGUCACCCUUACACUGACUCUCAUCCACCUUAAUGCCCUGCCUCUCACUCACUGCUACCCCCUUGUAAUGAGAUUUCUACUGUUACUUCUCUGCUGAAACUAAAAAGAGGAGAAAAAGCAAGACAGAGGAAGAAAUCUUUUCACACUCCUGCCUGCUCAACAGCAUUGGACAUCAGUGCCCACUAUUUUUCAUAAGGUGUCCUUCCUUGGCAUUCCUGAUUUGCCCUCUUCUAAUUCUCCUGCUGAGGAAAUCAUGUAGACCUUCCAAUGGUUAGACACCUGAAAACACCUCUGAACGCCAUAUAGGCCCCAGUCAGCACAGUCCUCCCCUGUAACACUGUCACCAGCCAACCCAGGUCUUGGAGUUUCCCUCAGGGAAAAAAAAAACAGGAAAAAGACUCAGUCUAAGACCUGAUUAAAGUCUUGCACCUCUCAAGGUAAGCACACUGACUUAUCCAACAUUUACUGGUCACUUUUCAGGUGGGAGGCACUGGUGCUUAGCAGACCAGUGAGAGAAGGUCUCUACCAUUGCCUAAGGAACUCACAGUCUAGAAGGAACACAGAUACAUAAACUGACAGUGUCAGCAUGACAUGUGAUAAUAUAAAGAAAAAAAAGAAGUACUAAGGGGAAGGCCAGGGAGGGCCAGAGCAGCUUGCUGAGAGAAACACCAGAGCCGUCCUUGGCCUCAGACAGAUCCACUGUCACCAUGUUAGUCCAGGCCUCUUGCAAGUCUCCUAACUGGUCUCCAUGCCUCUCUUUUACCCAUCCUACCCUCUUGCCCAAAUCCAUUCUCCACAUUACAGCAAGGGUGAUCUGCUUAAAUUUCGAAACAGAGCUCUCUCCUGCUCAAAACCUUUCAACAGCGCUGAGAAAAAGGUCCUGCACCAUCUGUCCCAUGCCAUUUUUCUCCCUUCAUCUCACUCCACUUUCCCUCGCACCAAUGGCCCUUCAGCCACACUAAUCUUUCAGACCCUUAAACAAAAUGAGUUCUCUUUUGCUACAUGGCCUCUGCACAUACCUUUCUUUUUACCUGGAAUCCUAUUGCCCCCACUCUCUGUACUAAAAUCUGUUUGACCUCUGGGUCUCAGCUGAAAUGUCAUUUCCCCAUUAUUUACUUAAUCAUCUCUCUGUCUGCCCCAUUAGACUGAUCCAAGACGAUCCGUGUCUGUUUUGUUCACUUUGUAUCUACAGCACCUGGCACACAACUGACACUCCAAUAUUUGCUCAAUGAGGAUGUACAAGACUCUUUCCUUCCCUAGGGUCCUAAAAGUAUUUCUCAGCCCUCUCUACCACUCCCUAUUUUCAUCAUCUCCAUGCUGAUCAUGUUCAUCUGUACCUCCAGACCUGACCUCUCCUCCCAAGAUCGAGUUCCACAACUAUGAUGCCUGCAGAAUAGUUCCACCUGGAGUCCUUCUCUGGCACCUGCAACUGGACAUGUCUCAAGACACACUAUUAACUAUCCUCAAACUCUCCUGUUUUUUUCCACUGCUGUUAAUGGUGGCCUCCCUUAGAGGUUGAAUGACUAUCCUUCACUGACUGACAAGACCAUCUGAUUCCAUCUCUAAAAAUGCACCUGUAUGUUCCGGUAUACACAGUCACCUGGACUAGUGCAUUAGCCUCAUUUCCUACCUCUAGUCUUUCAAAAUAACAAUCACCCACCUACAUGUACAAUAAAGCUUAAUUCUGAUGUCAAUCAAUACUCCCAUCAAAUCCUUCAAUGGCUCCCUACUGCCUUCCAAAUAACGUCCACACUCUUCUGCUUGGUAUUCAAAGCCCCUGUAAAUCUUGUCCACACUAUCCUAACAAAGCAGCCUAGUUUGGUGGUUAAGACAAUAAACUCUGGAGCCAGACUGCCAUGCUAAAUGCACAGACACAGGGAUAGAUGCAGAUCCGAGCUUCACCACUUAACCUCUUCAUGCUACAGCUCCUUAUCUGUACAGUGGGGAUAAUGAUAAAAGCAUUUACCUCUGAGGGUUCUUAUAAAGAUUAAAUGAACUAAUAUAAGUAGAACACUUAGAAUAGUGCCUGGCACUGGUCAGUGCAAUACACGUUGUGUUUUAUACCCCAUCUCCAACUAUCAAAAGCUACAUCCCAGUCUGUCUGAAUCAACUCACGGUUCUCCUAACACUCCUCAAACUUUCCCUCCUGAGGUAAGAGCCUACAACACCAGCUGAUAACCACCAGCUGAUAAGCUGCCAGUAUUGCACCGCUUCUCCAAAUCAAGGGCAUUUCCAGUCAAAAGCUUACACCACAAAGCUCUUUCUCUCCAGGAGCGUCCUUCUAUCUCAGGCACUGAAAUGCCCCAGAGGUUGCCCAUCAAAGGAUUUCCAGCCCUGUUCAAAGACUCUUCUUAAACAUCCUUUCUUCCCUCUACUUUCUCAUUCCCCUCCUAAGUUUCAGAUCAGAGACCAUCUUAGCACCAUUUUCCAUGCCCAGUGGCAAAGCUGUCUUAGUUCUCCUAUGCCCCUAAUCUGGGUAAAAAUUGAAACUCUCAUGGCUACUCUCCCUACAACAGUCCUAUUACAUUAGUGUUCUCUUCAGAUGGAAACACUCAAAAUAAUUAAAAUUAAUUCUGCAGUCUUACUACGAGCAGAAUAUGGACUUCAAUUUCUGAAGUGGUCAGGCCUCACCAGUAUGACAGUGCUGCCUUCCUACCCUCUACAGUCACUGCUAUACAGAGGGACUUGUAAACAUUGGUUAAGUGUUUAUUGACAACUCACUAAUUCCUAGGGAUAGAAAAAGGAGAGGUACAACAUUCCAAGAAAUUUUCACUGACUGUUUAGCCUUAAAGAAAACAAUAAAUUAUGAAAUGUAAUGUGUAAUUUCCAAAGAAUAAUUUAAUAACUUAGCAUGUAACUCUACCUAUGCAGUGCAAAUUCCACUCCUUUUUAUAACUGAAUCAAUACUGAAAAGAACUUUUUUCCUAUGAGAAGGAAAAACACAAAAACACAAAAAUCUAGCAAAAACCAUGACAUCUAAACCUAAGGAACUGUCUUCAAAUCACCUCAUGGCUCCCCAGAAGGCUUCACUUAGUGUCCCUUAGUGUGUGUCCCAUAGCUGAGGUUGUCAUCCAAAAGAUAACACACUAGAAACCUAUAUUUAAACAACUUUACAGAACUAAAACAAUCACGUUCUCGAUAUAACAUUAGAAGUCAUUAAUUACAUUAAUUACAAAGGAGUAAAUUAAUGUUAUAAAAUUACAUUAAUUAUAAAGGAGGAUUCUUAUAAACAUUUAUAAGGAUUUGCUUUAUAGUUCAUAACAAUUUAUAAGAAUUUAAAAAUUAAAGAAGAGGGGCAUGCCCAGUGGCAUAGUGGUUAAGUUUGUGCACUCAGUCUGCUUCAAUGCCUGGAGCUGGUGAGUUUGGAUCCUGGGCGUGGACCUACACACAGCUCAUCAAGCCAUGCUGUGGCAGCAUCCCACAUACAAAAUAGUGGAAGACUGGCAUAGAUGUUGGCUCAGUGACAAUCUUCCUCAACAAAAUAAAUAAACAAAAAUUAAAGGAGAAAGAAGUCACAUAAAAUCAAAGAUGCACUCUCAACUCCCAUCACUAUUGCUAUAGCUGCCCUAAAAACAAUCCUGAACAUUCGUUCUCCUCAAGGACUAAAAGGGUUUCACACUGAGGAUGUCCCAACAAAAAUACAAGCAAAACAGCAGAGAAGAAACUAAACUGAAUGACUAAUCGUUGAUUUAUAAUUUCAAAAAGAAUGAAGUAGUAAUACUCCAGGCAGUACUAGUCAAAGUGUAGUUCCUAGAGAGCAAACUGCUUGCACCUAUUCCAUGAGAAGGUAAGUACACAGACUGAGUAAGUAUUUAGAAACCUUUAGAGCAACUUGAGAGAAAUUUUACAUCUACUGAAUCUAAUAAUAAAAAAUUGGGAGUUAUAUAUUGUAGGGUUUUUACUUCAUUUUCCUUGAAAUAUAUUUUUUACAUAUGUUAGAAAAGAAUCAGGCCAUGACAAAGGGGAAAUGUUAAAAACUGGUCCUUCAGGGAUAUUUGCUUCUGAGAAGAUAAAGUAGAUGUACUUUUCCCUAUUCCUCCCACUAACUACAACUAAAAACUCUGGCCAUUGCAUAUGAAACAAACAUAAGAAGACUCUUAUGUGUGGUGAGAAGAAGGCAGACUGGCUAGGGAUCUCAGGUCCCAGGGAACAACACAAUGGUGAUUUCUCUGGGUUUUAUUUUUGCCUCAUAAAUCCCAGACUUUGAGGUGAAGAAGCUGACAACCUGCAAAUGCCAACAGGCACAGACAAAAAAAGCCCCAACAAAAGUCUGCUCUCUCUAGCCAAAGAUACAUCCUAGCAAGACAGAAAACUCGUAGGGAAAAAAACCACUCUACUCCAGACAAACGCCACAAAGAAAAGUGUGGCCCCAUCCAGACCAGCAAAGGUCAGAUGAGAAGCUUAGACUUCCACAUACUCUCCAGGUUGUAAUAAGGCACUCCAACCCCUUCCACACUAGAGCAAUACUGAGGUAGCCACGUAGGGAGCCCAGGCUUUCAUCCACAUCAGCUGGUAACAAGACAUCCUUCCACACCAUCUCUCCUGGGGAUCCUGGACCUUUACCCACACCUGGCAGUAACAAAACACUCUACUUUUUAGGCCAGGAGAAGGUCUAUUUCUAAUUCCUCCUAGCAAUAACAAGGUAGUGCUGCAUGCCACCCCCUUACCCGACUGGAGUGGCAUCAAAAAACCCAGCUGUAACAGAGGCUUAAAUAAGCUCUAGAAUUUCAUAGAAUAUGAAAAUGUCCAGGUUUUAACCAAAAAUUACUCAUCAUACCAAAAGCCAGGAUGAACUCAAACUCAAUGAAAAAGACAUCAGUAGACACCAACACCAAAAUGAGAGAGAUGUUGGAAUUAUCUCACAAUGAUUAUAACAGCUGUGACAGAAAUGCUUCAACAAUUUCAAGCAUGCUUAAAAAAAAUUAAAAAUAAAUAAAUGAAUAACCUCAAGAAAUAUAAAAUAUAAAGAAAAGUGAAAUGGAAAUUUUGAAAAAUACCAAAAUAAAAAGCUCAGUAGAUGGACUCAAUAGCAAAAUGGAAGGGACAAAGAAAAGAGGAGCAAUUGAGCAAUAGAUAUUACUCAAUCUGAACAACAGAGAGAAAUAAACUAAAGAGAAAUCAACAUCCUUAGGGACCUGUGGGACCAUAACAAAAGAUCCAACAUUCAAGUUAUCAGAGUCUUGAAAAAAGAGGAGAAAGGGAGUGAGCUAAAGAAGUACUCAAAGAUAUAAUGGUAAAAACUUACCAAAUUUGGCAUGAGACAUAAACCUACAGAUUCAGAAAGCUGAGUGAACUCCAAACAGGAUAAACCCGAAGAAAUCUACACCAAGAUGUAGCAUAAUUAAACUUUUGAAAACUAAAGACAAAAAUUCCUGAGAACAGUGAGAGAAAAAUGACACCUUAACUACAAAGGAAAAACUAUUUGAAUGACAGUGGAUUUCUCAUCAGAAACCAUGGAGGCCAGAAGGAAGUGGUACAACAUUUUUCAAAUGCUGAAAGAAAAGAUCAACACAAGGGGGCCAGCCCAGUGGCGUAGUGGUUAAGUUCACGUACUCCACUUUGGCAACCCGGGGUUCGCAGGUUCAGAUCCUAGGUGUGGACCCAGCACUGUUCAUCAAGCCAUGCUGUGGUGGCAUCCCACAUAAAAUAGAGGAAGACUGGCUCACAUGUUAGCUCAGCAACAAUCUUCCUCACCAAAAAAAAAAUCAACACAGAAACCUAUACCCAGAGAAAAUAUCCUUCAUGAAAGAAGAGGAAAUCAAGACAUUCUCAAAUGAAGAAAAACUAAGAGAAUUUGUCAUUAGCAGCCUUACCCUAAAGAAUGGCCAAAGGAAGUUCUUAAAACAAAAAAUAUAUGAUAAAAGAAGGAAUCUUGAGACAUCAAAAGGAAAACUAAGCAAAAAUAUGGGUAAACAGGCUUUCCUUCUCUCCUGAGUUUUCUCAUUCAUGUCUCACUGUGGGAGCAAAAACUAUAACACUGUCUAGUGAGGUUCUAAAUGUAUGUAGAGGAAAUAUUUACAAUUGUAUUAAAAUGGGGGAGGGUAAAUGGAUAUAAAGGGAAGUAAGGUUUCUAUACUCCACUUCAACACAAAUGACAACAGUAGACAAUGAUAAGUUAUGUAUAUAUAAUGUAAUACUUAGAGCAACCAAUAAGAAAAAUUUUAAUUAAAACAACUAUACAAAGAAAUAUACUCAAAAACAGUAUCAAUAAAUCAAAGAGUAAUUUUAAAAAAUUUUUCAAGUAACCCACAGGAAGUCAGGGGGAAAAAACACCCAGAGAAACAAAAAAACAGAGGGAACAAAAACAAAAAAUAAAAUGGUAGACUUAAGCCCUAAUAGAUCAAUAAUUACAUUAAAUGUAAAUGAUCUAAACGCAUCAAUGAAAAGACAGAGAUUGGUACCAUGGAUUACAAACAUGACCCAACUAUAUGCUGUCUACAGGAAACUUACUUCAAAUGUAACGAUAUAGGCAGGUUGAAGGUAAAAAGCUGGGAAAAGAUAGCUCAUCCAAACAACAAAAGGAAAGCAAUCAAAGGAAAAAGAAAAUUAGUGGCUAUGUUAAUAUCAGAUAAAGUAGAAUUCAGAGGAAAGAAAAUUGCUAGAGACAGAGAAGGACAUCAUAUAAUGAGAGAACAAGUCAACCCACCAAGAAAAUACAGCAACUCUAAAUGUGCAUACAUCAAACUGAGAGCUGCAAAAUAUAUAAAGCUAAAUAUUGAUAUAACCUAAAAGGAAAAAAAGACAAAUAUACAAAUAGAGUCAGAGACUUCAACAUCCUCUUCAAGAGUUGACAGACUAGACAGAAAACCAGCCAAAGUAUAGAAGAAUUCAACAACGUCAUCAACCAACAGGAUCUAACUGACAUUUAUAGAAUACGCCACUCAACAAUAGCAGAAAACGCGUUCAAGUGUCCACAGAACAUAUACCAAGAUAGACCAAAUGCUGAGCCACGAAACAAGCCUCAACAAAUUUUAAAAGAACUGAAAUCAUACAGUGUGUCGUCUCCAAUCACAAUGGAAUCAAACUGGAGACCAGAAACAGAAAGAUGACAGGAAAACCGCCAAAUACUUGAAAACCAAACAACACACUUCUAAACAAUCCCUGGGUCAAAGAAGUUGUCUCAAGGAAAAUAAAAAUAUACAUUGAACUGAGUGAAAAUAAAAAUACAGCAUAUCAAAAUUUGGGGACACAGCUAAAACAGUGCUAAGAGAGAAGUUUAUGGAGCUAAAUGCCCUCAUGAAUAUAAAUGCAAAAAAUCCUUAACAAAAUAUUAGUACAGAUCUUCCUUGACUUUCGAUAGGGUUACGUCCCAAUAAACCCAUGAGUUGAAAAUACUGUAAGCCAAAAAUGCAUUUAAUAUACCUAACCUACCCAACAUCAUAGUUUAGCCUAGCCUACCUUAGCCUAGCCUAAUUUCAGAAGACUUACAUUAGCCUACAGUUGGGCAAAGUCAUCUAACACAAAGCCUAUUUUAUAACAAAGUGUUGAAUAUCUCAUGUAAUUUAUUGAAUACUGUACUGAAACAGUAUUUGAAUACUGUACUGAACAGACUAGUUGUAUGCACACAGGAUGGUUUUAAGAGUAUCAGUUGUUUACCCUCAUGAUCAUGUUGCUGACUGAGAGCUGAGGCUCACUAUUGCUGCCCAGCAUCAUGAGAGUAUCACACCACACAUGGCUAGUCUGGGAAAAGAUCAAAAUUCAAAAUCUGAAGUAGAGUUUCUACUGAAGGCAUAUCGCUUUUAUACUAUCGUAAAACAGAAAAAUCUUAAGUCAAACCAUCCUAAGUUAGGGACUGUCUGUAAAUAGAAUUCGGCAACAUAUUUAAAAAAUUAUACACCACGACCAAGUGGGCUUUAUUCCAGAGAUGUAAGGCUGACUCAAUUUAAAAAACCAAUCAAAAUAAUCCAUCAUAUCAAUAGGCUAAAGAAGAAAAAUCACAUGACCAUAUCAAUUAAUGCACAAAAAGUACCUGACAAAAUUCAACACCCACUCAUGAUAAAAACUCUCAGAAAGACAGGAAUAGAGGGGAACUUCCUCAACUUGAUAAAGAGCAUCUACAAAAAAACCCUACAGUUAACACUAUACUUAAUAGUGUGUGGUGUGUCUAACAAUUAGCUUUUUUGAUUGUGAUGUAAAUUGUAUGACAUUAAGCUUUUGACUGCCCAGGCAUCCACUUCAAAGACAUCCAGCUACAUACCUAGAUAAAGAGUCAGGCCACCCCACCCAUGAAGUUCUCUUUUUUUUAAAAGAGCUCUGGCACACUUAGAUAAGUGACCCAUUGGCAAUUUGCUUUUCCCUUCCUGUAUCCUAAUUCCCACUCUUAUGUUUUAAAUUCACCAAUAAACAGUGAACCCAAAAAUCCUAGGCACCUCACCCUCAACCCCAAUAAAAGCAAAACUCCAGGUCUGCAUUAUCUCUCUACCCAUGAUGUCACUGUGUGGUCCCAGGUGUGCUGUGUAUCCUCCAGGACCUCUGAGUAAUAAAUCUUCUCUUUUCAAAGUUCCCUGAUGGCUGUUGCUGAGGUGUGUCUUGCAAUCAUAAUAAGAACCACAAGGCCAGUACAGCCACAACACUGGCUGCAAAAGGGGAAAUGUCUGUGAGGUCUCACCAAGGGCCCAGGAGAGUGCCCUAGGCAUUUCUAGCCCAUAGCAUCACUAUGGAUAGGCUGAGACUGAUCCAAAACAUAGUGAAAGACCGAAAGCUAUCCACCUAAGAUCAGGAACAAAGCAAAGAUGCCCUCUCUCACUGUUCUUUGUUUUCAGUGAGGAAGAUUGUUCCUGAGCUAACAUCUGUGGCCAAUCUUCCUCUUUUUGCUUGAGGAUGAUUGUCCCUGAGCUAACAUCUGUGCCAAUCUUCCUCUAUUCUGUAUGUGGGAUGCUGCCACAGCAUGGCUUGAUGAGAAGUGGGUAGGUCUGCACCUGGGUUCUGAACCCACGAACCCUGGGCUGCCCAAGUGGAGCACAUGAACUUAACCACUAUGCCA
This 13896-nucleotide long non-coding RNA is filed under the name Equus caballus (horse). RNAcentral describes it as "lncRNA (ENSECAG00000055083.1)". The record is from RNAcentral. Lineage: Eukaryota; Metazoa; Chordata; Mammalia; Perissodactyla; Equidae.